AGCCUGCCCAGUGACUAAGUUCAACGGCCGCGGUAUCCUAACCGUGCGAAGGUAGCGUAAUCACUUGUUCUUUAAAUGGGGACUAGUAUGAAUGGCAUCACGAGGGUUACACUGUCUCCUUUUUCUAAUCAAUGAAACUGAUCUCCCCGUGAAGAAGCGGGGAUGCAAAUAUAAGACGAGAAGACCCUAUGGAGCUUUAAAUGCUAUAGCACUGACUUAUUACUAUAAAAAUUUCAGAAUAAUAAUAACAAUUUUAGCCAGAUAACUAUUAAUUUUAGGUUGGGGUGACCACGGAGAAAAACCUAUCCUCCAUAUUGAACGGAGCUACUCCUGAACAAAAAGCUACAACUUUAAGUACCAAUAAAUUGACAUUAAUUGACCCAAUAAAUUGAUCAACGAAC
This 401-nucleotide ribosomal RNA is filed under the name Dendropsophus melanargyreus (interior treefrog). RNAcentral's name for it is "partial 16S ribosomal RNA". It matches the Rfam family "Bacterial large subunit ribosomal RNA", at positions 1856 to 2457 of the family's 2925-position model. The record is from RNAcentral. Lineage: Eukaryota; Metazoa; Chordata; Amphibia; Anura; Hylidae.